Molecule: long non-coding RNA, 478 nt
Filed under: Ursus maritimus (polar bear)
Lineage: Eukaryota; Metazoa; Chordata; Mammalia; Carnivora; Ursidae
Description: lncRNA (ENSUMAG00000017547.1)
Source: RNAcentral
UAAAAUUUUCCAUCGUGGAAAUUUCCCAGCUACUGGGCUCUUUAGAUUUUUUUUUUUUUUUUUCAGAGCUGCAAGCAAAGAAUGGAAAUUUCCAAUUGCAGCAUCAAGGGCUGCUGUUCUGCUGACUGUCUUGCUCAGCCAGGGUCAUCUGCUUCUCUAAGACAUCAAGGAAUGCCAAGAUAAACGAAGUCAAUUCACUUCCUCAAUUAGAAGACAAGAAGCAGCUGACUACCGAGCAGUGCUGUGUGGAGACUAACAGCAUUUGUACUAAGGUGGGCAGACAUCAAAGCCUGAGGAAUGAUGCCAGCACUGCUCUGCCAUGUGACUGCUGUAUUGAACAGGAGAUCCAUCCAUGCUGGCCUACUCCAAAGGACACGUAAGCAAAUCAGCACUUGGAGGAAAACGACACAGGAGUGACCAUAGUGCCGGUAAAUUGGAAGAGGCAAAGAGCCACUUUGCUUUGUAGCCUCCACUGAUG